Molecule: non-coding RNA, 835 nt
Organism: Zootermopsis nevadensis
Lineage: Eukaryota; Metazoa; Arthropoda; Insecta; Blattodea; Termopsidae
Source: RefSeq, a predicted model, not a curated record
CAGGCAUUUGCUUAGUGACAGUUUUAUUAUGUUGGUGCACGCUUUCAGUCGCUGCAUUAGUUACUGGCAAAUUCUGUAAGAGUGUCCUCGUAAUUAAAUUAUUAUUAUUAUUAUUAUUACUCAGAAAAGAGAAGAAAUCGAGAGAAAAGUUAAAGCAUGAACGUUUCGAGAAAGAGAAAGGCACACGAACAACCCAGCAAGAAUUUUCGUUUGAGCACCAAACUCCAGAUAUGGAGACACGCUUGAAGGAUCUUUUGAGGGAACUGGAGUGUCCAGUCUGUAUGGAGUGCAUUACGCCUCCCAUUCCGUUGUGUGAGAACGGCCACAGUGUAUGCAACACCUGCAGGCAAAAUCUCAUAAACUGCCCAAUCUGCAAAAGUCGGUUCUCAACCAUGAGAAGUUUCCUUCUUGAGAUAUUGACCAGCAAAAUGAAGUAACCUUACGAAUAUUACAAUCGAGGAUGUCCGAGGGCAUUUUACCUUAAAUUCCAAGAUAAUUUUCCAGAAGAAGAAGAUGAAGACGAAGGAGAGGAAGAAGAAGACGACGACGAAGAAGAAGAUGAAGAAGUUAAACAAUUUUCGGAACGAAUCCACGCUGAAUUUCCUAACUUAUCUCUUGAAGACAUAUUUUCAAUUUUGUACGAACUUCAGGAUCCAUCACCACCAUCAGACACCUCUCCUAAAAGGAAGAAGAUGAAGAUGAUGAAGAAGAAAAAGAAGAAGAUUAAGAAAAAAAUUAAAUCAUCAAUGAGAACGGUACUAAUAUGGUUAGGGACCAUGCUUUUGUAAUGAAAGAGAUUAAUUAAAAACUUCAGAGUAAUUUUUUAAAAAAACAA